ACGGAAGGCAGCAGUGGGGAAUAUUGCACAAUGGGGGAAACCCUGAUGCAGCGACGCCGCGUGAGUGAAGAAGUAUUUCGGUAUGUAAAGCUCUAUCAGCAGGAAAGAAAAUGACGGUACCUGACUAAGAAGCCCCGGCUAACUACGUGCCAGCAGCCGCGGUAAUACGUAGGGGGCAAGCGUUAUCCGGAUUUACUGGGUGUAAAGGGAGCGUAGACGGCUUUGCAAGUCUGAAGUGAAAGCCCGGGGCUCCACCCCGGAACUGCUUUGGAAACUGUAGAGCUAGAGUGCAGGAGAGGUAAGUGGAAUUCCUAGUGUAGCGGUGAAAUGCGUAGAUAUUAGGAGGAACACCAGUGGCGAAGGCGGCUUACUGGACUGUAACUGACGUUGAGGCUCGAAGGCGUGGGGAGCAAACAGGAUUAGAUACCCUGGUA
RNAcentral lists this ribosomal RNA (434 nucleotides) under uncultured Lachnospiraceae bacterium. Its description in RNAcentral is "partial 16S ribosomal RNA". It matches the Rfam family "Bacterial small subunit ribosomal RNA", at positions 341 to 792 of the family's 1533-position model. The record is from RNAcentral. Lineage: Bacteria; Bacillati; Bacillota; Clostridia; Lachnospirales; Lachnospiraceae.